This 512-nucleotide ribosomal RNA is filed under the name uncultured bacterium. Its description in RNAcentral is "partial 16S ribosomal RNA". It matches the Rfam family "Bacterial small subunit ribosomal RNA", at positions 28 to 523 of the family's 1533-position model. The record is from RNAcentral.
GAUGAACGCUGGCGGCAUGCCUAAUACAUGCAAGUCGAACGAGAGGAAGGAAAGCUUGCUUUUCUGAAUCUAGUGGCGAACGGGUGAGUAACACGUAGGUAACCUGCCCAUGUGCCCGGGAUAACUUCUGGAAACGGAUGCUAAAACCGGAUAGGUAGCAGACAAGCAUUUGACUGCUAUUAAAGUGGCUAAGGCCAUGAACAUGGAUGGACCUGCGGUGGAUUAGCUAGUUGGUGAGGUAACGGCCCACCAAGGCGACGAUGCAUAGCCGGCCGGAGAGGGCGGACGGCCACAUUGGGACUGAGACACGGCCCAAACUCCUACGGGAGGCAGCAGUAGGGAAUUUUCGUCAAUGGGGGGAACCUUGAACGAGCAAUGCCGCGUGAGUGAGGAAGGUCUUCGGAUCGUAAAGCUCUGUUGUAAGAGAAAAACGACAUUCAUAGGGAAUGAUGAGUGAGUGAUGGUAUCUUACCAGAAAGUCACGGCUAACUACGUGCCAGCCGCCGCGGUAA